GAGUUUGAUCCUGGCUCAGAAUCAACGCUGGCGGCGUGCCUAACACAUGCAGGUCGCACGAGAAAGUGGAGCAAUCCAUGAGUAAAGUGGCGCACGGGUGAGUAACACGUGAAUGAUCUACCUCCGAGUGGGGAAUAACUGAGAGAAAUCUUAGCUAAUACCGCAUAAUACCCACGGGUCAAAGCAGCAAUGCGCUUGGAGAGGAGUUCGCGGCCGAUUAGUUAGUUGGCGGGGUAAUGGCCCACCAAGACGAUGAUCGGUAUCCGGCCUGAGAGGGCGCACGGACACACUGGAACUGAAACACGGUCCAGACUCCUACGGGAGGCAGCAGUGGGGAAUUUUGCGCAAUGGGGGAAACCCUGACGCAGCAACGCCGCGUGGAGGAUGAAGCCCCCUUGGGGUGUAAACUCCUUUCGAUCGGGAAGAUAAUGACGGUACCGAUAUAAGAAGCCCCGGCUAACUUCGUGCCAGCAGCCGCCGUAAG
RNAcentral lists this ribosomal RNA (484 nucleotides) under uncultured bacterium. RNAcentral's name for it is "bacterial SSU rRNA". It matches the Rfam family "Bacterial small subunit ribosomal RNA", at positions 9 to 524 of the family's 1533-position model. The record is from RNAcentral.